GUGAGGAAUAUUGGUCAAUGGACGAGAGUCUGAACCAGCCAAGUCGCGUGAAGGAAGACGGUUCUAUGAAUUGUAAACUUCUUUUGUGCAGGAAUAAAGUGGGUUACGUGUAACCUUUUGUAUGUACUGUACGAAUAAGGAUCGGCUAACUCCGUGCCAGCAGCCGCGGUAAUACGGAUGAUCCGAGCGUUAUCCGGAUUUAUUGGGUUUACAGGGUGCGUAGGUGGAUUGAUAAGUCAGCGGUGAAAGUUUGCAGCUUAACUGUAAAAUUGCCGUUGAAACUGUCGGUCUUGAGUGCAAAUGAGGUAGGCGGAAUGUGUUGUGUAGCGGUGAAAUGCUUAGAUAUAACACAGAACUCCGAUUGCGAAGGCAGCUUACUGGGAUGCAACUGACACUGAUGCACGAAAGCGUGGGUAUCAAACAGGAUUAGAAACCCGGGUAGUCC
Molecule: ribosomal RNA, 445 nt
Filed under: uncultured bacterium
Lineage: Bacteria
Description: partial 16S ribosomal RNA
Rfam family: Bacterial small subunit ribosomal RNA
Source: RNAcentral